AAUUUUGGACAAUGGGGGAAACCCUGAUCCAGCCAUCCCGCGUGUAUGAUGAAGGCCUUCGGGUUGUAAAGUCCUUUUGGCGGGGAAGAAAAGGUAUCUCCUAAUACGGAAUACGCCUGAGGUUAUCUGCAGAAAGCGCCCGGGGUAACUCGGUGCAGGCAGCCGCGGUAAUACGUAGGGUGCAAGCGUUAAUCGGAAUUACUGGGCGUAAAGCGUGUGUAGGCGGUUCGAAAAGAAAGAUGUGAAAUCCCAGGGCUCAACCUUGGAACUGCAUUUUUAACUGCCGAGCUAGAGUAUGUCAGAGGGGGGUAGAAUUCCACGUGUAGCAGUGAAAUGCGUAGAUAUGUGGAGGAAUACCGAUGGCGAAGGCAGCCCCCUGGGAUAAUACUGACGCUCAGACACGAAAGCGUGGGGAGCAAACA
RNAcentral lists this ribosomal RNA (422 nucleotides) under uncultured bacterium. RNAcentral describes it as "partial 16S ribosomal RNA". It matches the Rfam family "Bacterial small subunit ribosomal RNA", at positions 360 to 774 of the family's 1533-position model. The record is from RNAcentral.